This 3688-nucleotide long non-coding RNA is filed under the name Brassica napus (rape). Its description in RNAcentral is "long non-coding RNA (BNAP_LNC022570)". The record is from RNAcentral. Lineage: Eukaryota; Viridiplantae; Streptophyta; Magnoliopsida; Brassicales; Brassicaceae.
CGGUGACAUUAUCCGUCGCUACGUCUUGACCGAUCCGAAUCCCACCGCUUCCAUUUUGAUCAGAGGAACGGUCGUGAACGUCCGGCCAUCUCCGAUGGUUGCCGCGUUUAGCUCGCGGGGACCUAAUACGAUAACGCCAAACAUUCUCAAACCGGAUUUGAUAGCUCCUGGAGUCAAUAUCCUCGCCGCAUGGACCGGAGCUCUGGGUCCCAGUGGACUCGGAACCACUUCCGAUACUCGUCGCGUGGAAUUCAACAUCAACUCGGGAACGUCCAUGUCUUGCCCUCACGUGAGCGGUUUAGCGGCUCUCCUCAAGUCUGUGCAUCCGGAAUGGAGCCCCGCGGCAAUUCGAUCGGCUCUCAUGACCACCGCUUACAAUACCUACAAAGACGGCAAACCGAUCCUCGACGUCGCGACGGGAAAACCUUCAACACCGUUCGAGCACGGUGCAGGACACGUGUCGCCCACGGCGGCCGUCAAUCCAGGACUCAUCUACGAUCUAACGACGGAGGAUUAUAUAGAUUUCAUCUGCGCAUCGAAUUAUAAUUCGUCGCUGAUCACAAUCAUAUCGAGAGGCAAUUACGCUUGUCCAAGAAAAACGCACCCCGCAGCUGAUCUAAACUAUCCGUCGUUCGCCGUUAACGUCAAAGGAUCCGGCACGUACAAGUACACCCGCACUGUCACAAACGUGGGAGGAGCUGGGUCAUACUCGGUUAAAGUAACGUCGGAGACAACGGCAGUCAAGAUUUCGGUUGAACCGGCGGUUUUGAAUUUCAAAGAAGUGAACGAGAAGAAAUCGUAUUCGGUAACGUUUACCGUUAUCUCAUCUAAGGCGCCAAUGUCUAACAGCUUCGGGAGCAUUGAAUGGUCAGAUGGGAAACACGUGGUGGCCAGUCCCGUGGCGAUUAGCUGGACAUAGGUGGUCCAUGAAGAAAUAUGGCGACUUGAGUAAGAAGAAAGCAACAGAUAUUGUAAUUUCUCAUGAGCCUUGGAUAUUUAAUGAAAAGUAAAAAAUUGGUAAGUACUAUUUUAGCUGGCUAGUGUGUUAUGAAUAUUCUUAUUUACUAGGCUGUGGACAUUGUAGAUACUGACAAUUAUUAGAUUAGUUUAUGAGAUAUGAAAUAUACUAGGCACUUGAUUCACGUUGCAUGAAUGUGAACCACUCAACGUAGGAAACUAUCACUAAUCAAAUACAUCUAGUGUAUCAUAACAAUGUGAUUACGAUGAGUUAAAAAAUAUGAAUCUAAUAACAUAGAGAAAAAGUAGAAACGACUCUAAGAGCUAAUCAUAACCAACUAGAGGUUUCAUUUCAAGAACCAACAAUAACAAGUUCAUAAACAUGAGGUAAUAAAAGAUAUCAAUCGAAAUAAAUACCUAUCUUCAAACAAACUAUAAAAAUGUAUGGCUUUUGUUAAAAGCAAACUCACCUCUUUCCAGUACACAAAUUUGCAGAGAAAAAUCCAAAAAAAAAAAGAAAAGGAUAAAACAAAUUCACGAAUAGUAACUCAAUUUUGAUCAACGUCCAAUUAAAACCCUGAUAUGUAAUUUUAUUUUCAGAAACCCAUCGUGGCAUUAUCACUCAGAGACUAAUACAAUUGGACCAACCUGCCAGCUUCUGAUGUUGCUAUAUUUUUAUUUUUUUUCUGUUUUAUAAAAAUAAAAACUAAUGUUAAAAGAGAGAAUGUAUCCCUGUAUUGUUAACUAUUGAUAUGAUUUAGUUAGUCUGAUCUGAUGUGAAGACAUGUUAAUUCAUACCAUACAAACCAAAGUCUCAAAUUGCCACCCACAUUAUUUGGAUCCCAACCGUCAAAAGCAUUGGUUAGUUGGUGUCUUCGACGAAACUCAUUGAGAUCUUUGCAAAGUAGUUCGUUUCUUUGCUUCUGUCUUGUGAUGAGCCUUAAAGAUAUUAAUAGACUCACAACUUACAUAAACCCUAAACCUGAUUUUAAAGUUGAGGAGGAUCAUGAACUUUAAAGAUAUUAAUAGACUCAUAACUUUGCUUCUGUUUUGUGAUAAGUUACAGCAGCCGGACUAGGAUCUUCCACCAAUGAACCGAUGCAUGGCUCACACUAAUUUGCUUCUCUUAUCUAAAACAAAUUUCGGGGAAAUAAAGCGAUGAGUAGAGCUUAUUGAUGAUUUCCUCACUCCGCUCAGUCUCAGAAUCCGCUGAAAUGAUCUACACCUACAACAAUGCGAUACAUGGAUUCGCCACUCGGCUUACUCCCGGAGAAGCCGACUCACUCAUGACCCAACCUGGUGUCAUCUCGGUUCAACAAGAGCAGAAGUACGAGUUACACACCACUCGAACUCCAUUAUUCCUUGGUCUCGACGGACAAAACGCAGGACUAUUCCCCGAAACCGGCGCCUCAAGCGACAUAGUCAUAGGAGUUCUGGACACCGGUAUUUGGCCAGAGAGCAAAAGCUUCUCUGAUGAAGGAUACGGUCCAAUUCCAUCUACAUGGAAAGGCGAAUGCCAGGCUGGGACUAACUUCACCGCUUCGCUGUGUAACCGCAAACUAAUCGGAGCUAGAUUCUUCUCUGACGGUUACGAAAGAGAUUAUGGAAAAAUCAACCAAGCCGACGAGUCGAAAUCGCCGAGAGACGACUUCGGUCAUGGAACACACACGGCGUCAACCGCGGCUGGAAACGUCGUGAAAGGAGCUAAUUAUUUAGGCUUUGCUAGUGGGACGGCUAGUGGGAUGGCUCAUCGCGUCCGAGUGUCUGUUUACAAAGUUUGUUGGAAAAGUGCUUGCGUGAGCUCAGAUAUUUUAGCUGGAAUGGAUAAAGCCAUCGAAGAUAAUGUCCACAUUAUGUCAUUAUCUAUCGGUGGUAAAUCGACAAGUUAUACAGGCGAAAUUUCCAUGGGUGCAUUCUCGGCCAUGGAAAGAGGGAUCUUUGUUUCCUGCUCUGCUGGUAAUGAUGGUCCCAGCCCAUCCAGCUUAUCAAACGCAGCUCCCUGGAUUACUACUGUUGGUGCUAGUAGUAUUGACCGUGAGUUUCCCGGGGUUGUGAUCCUCGGCAACGGAAAGAACUAUACUGGAGUUUCGUUGUUCAAUGGAAAUGCUCUUCCUGCUAAAUUGUUGCCGUUUGUUUAUGGAAAUUAUUGUAGCCGCGGAACACUAAAUCCUGAGAAGGUAAAGGGGAAGAUCGUGAUGUGCAUCAAAGAUGACAGUGUAAGGACUGAGAAAGGGGAGGUGGUGAAAGCUGCCGGUGGACUCGGAAUGAUUCUGGCAAAUGCAGCAGGGAGCGGAGAAGAAGUUCUGGCGGAUGCUCAUGUGUUACCUGUGACCGCCGUGGGACAGAAAGCCGGUGACAUUAUCCGUCGCUACGUCUUGACCGAUCCGAAUCCCACCGCUUCCAUUUUGAUCAGAGGAACGGUCGUGAACGUCCGGCCAUCUCCGAUGGUUGCCGCGUUUAGCUCGCGGGGACCUAAUACGAUAACGCCAAACAUUCUCAAACCGGAUUUGAUAGCUCCUGGAGUCAAUAUCCUCGCCGCAUGGACCGGAGCUCUGGGUCCCAGUGGACUCGGAACCACUUCCGAUACUCGUCGCGUGGAAUUCAACAUCAACUCGGGAACGUCCAUGUCUUGCCCUCACGUGAGCGGUUUAGCGGCUCUCCUCAAGUCUGUGCAUCCGGAAUGGAGCCCCGCGGCAAUUCGAUCGGCUCUCAUGACCACCGCUUACAAUAC